AGACUGAUAAAACAAGUGGCCACAAGAAGGAAGGGAUUUACUCCAGAAUUUUAAGAUGAAACAUGUAUGCUACCUAUUACAUGCAAGCUCACUAUUACUCCAAAGAGCAUAAAACCCAAUGUUUUCAAAGGUCUGGUCUAGCUCAAGAGAUCUCAAGAUAGAAGAAGGAAUGGUAGAAAUGUAUGGAGCAUCAAUCCCAGCAAGAAGACAUGUGGUAAUUCUUCCUUCUGAGAAAGGAUAAAGAAAAAACUGAAGAAUAUUACAGUUUUAAUAGCAAAGAUGGAAAUAAAAGUCCAUCGUAAUAUUACCAGAAUAUUACACCAAAGAAACGUGGGUGUAGAAGUCAAAUCUGUAGCCUUUGGGCAUUGUUCCUGAUUGAAAAUACCUUUUCCAAGCAA
This is a non-coding RNA of Pantherophis guttatus, 398 nucleotides long. NCBI's taxonomy places the organism in Eukaryota, Metazoa, Chordata, Lepidosauria, Squamata, Colubridae. The record is from RefSeq and is a predicted model, not a curated record.